RNAcentral lists this long non-coding RNA (213 nucleotides) under Gallus gallus (chicken). RNAcentral's name for it is "long non-coding RNA NONGGAT002553". The record is from RNAcentral. Lineage: Eukaryota; Metazoa; Chordata; Aves; Galliformes; Phasianidae.
CUGAUCAAGAGGCUCCUGGAAAUAAUGACCGUGCAACUCAAUCCGAUGAUGUCCCCGGGUCUCUGUUUCCACUGGUGCCCUUGGCAGGCAGUUCCCAGGAGAGCAGCCCAGCCAAGAACUGCAUGGGAACAACAGCUUCUGCUGGGGGUAAGCUUUAUUAUUAUGUGAAGAUGUAAAGAGAGGGAGAAGCUGGUGACGCACCUUGGGACAAUA